CGUUCCCGGGCCUUGUACACACCGCCCGUCACAUCAUGGGAGUUGGUUUUACCCGAAGUUACUGACCCGACCGCAAGGAGGGAGGUACCCAAGGUAAGGCCGAUGACUGGGAUG
This 114-nucleotide ribosomal RNA is filed under the name uncultured bacterium. RNAcentral's name for it is "partial 16S ribosomal RNA". It matches the Rfam family "Bacterial small subunit ribosomal RNA", at positions 1369 to 1482 of the family's 1533-position model. The record is from RNAcentral.